Molecule: ribosomal RNA, 355 nt
Filed under: uncultured bacterium
Lineage: Bacteria
Description: partial 16S ribosomal RNA
Rfam family: Bacterial small subunit ribosomal RNA
Source: RNAcentral
AUACAGAGGGUGCAAGCGUUAAUCGGAUUUACUUGGCGUAAAGCGCGCGUAGGUGGCUAAUUAAGUCAAGUGUGAAAUCCCCGAGCUUAACUUGGGAAUUGCAUUCGAUACUGGUUAGCUAGAGUAUGGGAGAGGAUGGUAGAAUUCCAGGUGUAGCGGUGAAAUGCGUAGAGAUCUGGAGGAAUACCGAUGGCGAAGGCAGCCAUCUGGCCUAAUACUGACACUGAGGUGCGAAAGCAUGGGGAGCAAACAGGAUUAGAUACCCUGGUAGUCCAUGCCGUAAACGAUGUCUACUAGCCGUUGGGGCCCUUGAGGCGUUAGGGGCGCAGGUAACGCGAUAAGUAGACUGCCUGGG